UACAGAGGUCUCAAGCGUUGUUCGGAUUCAUUGGGCGUAAAGGGGGUGUAGGUGGCGCCGUAAGUCGGAUGUGAAAUUUCGGAGCUUAACUCCGAAACUGCAUUCGAUACUGCGGUGCUUGAGGACUGGAGAGGAGACUGGAAUUCAUGGUGUAGCAGUGAAAUGCGUAGAGAUCAUGAGGAAGACCAGUGGCGAAGGCGGGUCUCUGGACAGUUCCUGACACUGAGACACGAAGGCCAGGGGAGCAAACGGG
Molecule: ribosomal RNA, 253 nt
Filed under: uncultured bacterium
Lineage: Bacteria
Description: partial 16S ribosomal RNA
Rfam family: Bacterial small subunit ribosomal RNA
Source: RNAcentral